UGGGAUAACUUCAGGAAACUGGGGCUAAUACCGGAUAGGAGCUCCUGCUGCAUGGUGGGGGUUGGAAAGUUUCGGCGGUUGGGGAUGGACUCGCGGCUUAUCAGCUUGUUGGUGGGGUAGUGGCUUACCAAGGCUUUGACGGGUAGCCGGCCUGAGAGGGUGACCGGCCACAUUGGGACUGAGAUACGGCCCAG
This 194-nucleotide ribosomal RNA is filed under the name uncultured Actinomycetales bacterium. Its description in RNAcentral is "partial 16S ribosomal RNA". It matches the Rfam family "Bacterial small subunit ribosomal RNA", at positions 139 to 334 of the family's 1533-position model. The record is from RNAcentral. Lineage: Bacteria; Bacillati; Actinomycetota; Actinomycetes; Actinomycetales.